RNAcentral lists this ribosomal RNA (642 nucleotides) under uncultured bacterium. RNAcentral's name for it is "bacterial SSU rRNA". It matches the Rfam family "Bacterial small subunit ribosomal RNA", at positions 8 to 697 of the family's 1533-position model. The record is from RNAcentral.
AGAGUUUGAUCCUGGCUCAGGAUUAACGCUGGCGGUAUGUCUAAUACAUGCAAGUCGAACGAGGCUUCGAGCCGAGUGGCGAACGGGUGCGUAACACGUUGGAAUCUGCCCCAAACUCAGGGAUAACAUCUAGAAAUAGAUGCUAAUACCGGAUAGUCCCGUAAGGGUAAAGCUUUUGCGGUUUGGGAGGAGCCUGCGGCGUAUCAGCUUGUUGGUGGGGUAAUGGCCUACCAAGGCAAUGACGCGUAGCUGGUCUGAGAGGAUGAUCAGCCACAAUGGAACUGAGACACGGUCCAUACUCCUACGGAGGCAGCAGUAAAGAAUCUUCCACAAUGGGGGAAACCCUGAUGGAGCAAUACCGCGUGGUCGAUGACGGUCGUAAGAUUGUAAAGGCCUUUUCUGAGGGAAGAAUUAUGACGGUACCUUAGGAAUAAGCACCGGCUAACUCCGUGCCAGCAGCCGCGGUAAUACGGAGGGUGCAAGCGUUAUCCGGAAUCAUUGGGCGUAAAGCGUCCGCAGGCGGUUUAUUAAGUCAGAUAUUAAAGACUGGGGCUCAACUCCAGCAAAAUGUCUGAAACUGGUUAACUAGAGGGUUUCAGAGGUAUGUGGAAUUCUAUGUGUAGGGGUAAAAUCCGUUGAUAC